UUCUAUCGUCUGUCAUCUCACUGUUGACGUUGUGCCAGAGGUAGGUUGUAGGUUAAUUCUUUCUUCUCCUCUCACUUUGUUCUCUCUUGUUUUCUUUCUUUGUUAUUCAUUGCAGCGUUGUAGUUUUCCCCUUUCUCUCUAAAAAACGAGAUACAUUGGAUUUUGCUCUGUUCUCUAUAGGUGUUCUUUCAUACGCCUCUAUGUUAUCUUUCUUACGGUAUUUUUGUAUGUUUAUUUUAAUUUUUAGGUUAUUGUUUAGUGAAUUUAGGUAUUUUUUUGCAGGAGCGAGGCUUUUGUUUUCGUUUUCUAUUGAAUCUGAAUGCCUUUGUUUUCGGCGUUUUCUGAAUCCAGUUUUACUGCGUUAGUUUUGACAGGUUCGUGCCCUUCUUCCAAUCAUUUUAUGGGGUGAUACUUCGAAAUGCUAAUGGACGGUUUACUACUCUUCUCUGAUUGUAUUUAUGUAUGUUUGCUUGUAAUUUCAAAUUUGUUUGCGUGUUUUGUGCAUUUUUUUUGCUUGAUCUUUGUUUUAUUCUUAAUCCAAAUUUUUUGGAUUUGUUUUUGAUUUUCUCCGAUCCAGAUUAUGUACCUUUGUUUUUCGAUUUUAUCUGAAUUCUGCUUUGGUGCCAUUGUUUUUGUCAGGUUUUGGCUGUCUCUUUUAUUACCAUUUGGACGUGUCAGGUAUAUUUCUCUCCCUUUUUUGUAUUAUUCUUGAUGCAUUUGUGCAUAUAAUUAUGUGUAUUUAUCAUGCAACUAAAUAUGAUAUUGUAUCUUGUUAGACUUAUUUUCGCAAGUUAAAUUUUGUGCUUGUUUAGUUGUUAUGUUUAUUUGUAUUUUCAGUUUGGUUUUUUUCAUUUACUGAUAUGGGCCUUUGUUUCCAAUAUUUAUUUCAUCUUUAACAGAUAUGCUUGAAAAUGCUAAUGGAAUGCCACUCAGAUAAGCUCCUUGAUUUCAGCAAUGUGUGUUCUUGGGUAAAUUUCUUUACCACCUCCUUGACAAGUAGUGAUAUAUGUGCAUUUUUAAUCUCAGUGCGUACAUGUUUGGUUUGUUUAUUGGUUAUUGUUUAUUGAUAAUGAUCUUUUUGCUCAUCAGCAAAGUAUAUCAUAUAUACUUUUUCUAUGAUAUACUUUUCUAUUUGUAUCAGAUACAUGUGUCAUUCUUUGUGGUUUGUUGUUGCCAGAAAAUUCUAAUUACUAAAAUAUCUUUUAUUGCUUUUGGUUAUAUUAGUUCGUAGAUGUUUUUGAUGUGUUGAUUUAUAACUUGAUUUAUUUGGUGCUUAUACCCAUACUAGACACCUUUGUUUUUUAUUUCCAAUAUUAUUUUUAGAUUAACAACUAACAUAAUCAAAUACACGAAAUGAAGCAGGUGAUAACACUGGAAGGUGUAGCAUCGUUAAGAAG
RNAcentral lists this long non-coding RNA (1397 nucleotides) under Erythranthe guttata (spotted monkey flower). RNAcentral's name for it is "long non-coding RNA (EGUT_LNC003826)". The record is from RNAcentral. Lineage: Eukaryota; Viridiplantae; Streptophyta; Magnoliopsida; Lamiales; Phrymaceae.